Molecule: ribosomal RNA, 497 nt
Filed under: uncultured bacterium
Lineage: Bacteria
Description: partial 16S ribosomal RNA
Rfam family: Bacterial small subunit ribosomal RNA
Source: RNAcentral
GAUGAACGCUGGCGGCGUGCCUAAUACAUGCAAGUCGAGCGAACAGACGAGGAGCUUGCUCCUCUGACGUUAGCGGCGGACGGGUGAGUAACACGUGGAUAACCUACCUAUAAGACUGGGAUAACUUCGGGAAACCGGAGCUAAUACCGGAUAAUAUAUUGAACCGCAUGGUUCAAUAGUGAAAGACGGUUUUGCCGUCACUUAUAGAUGGAUCCGCGCCGCAUUAGCUAGUUGGUAAGGUAACGGCUUACCAAGGCAACGAUGCGUAGCCGACCUGAGAGGGUGAUCGGCCACACUGGAACUGAGACACGGUCCAGACUCCUACGGGAGGCAGCAGUGGGGAAUCUUCCGCAAUGGGCGAAAGCCUGACGGAGCAACGCCGCGUGAGUGAUGAAGGUCUUCGGAUCGUAAAACUCUGUUAUUAGGGAAGAACAAAUGUGUAAGUAACUAUGCACGUCUUGACGGUACCUAAUCAGAAAGCCACGGCUAACUACGUG